AGCAGAGAAGGAGCCAUGCGACUUGGCUCUCAACUCAGCAAAUUCUGGAAGUGAACUGGAUCUCUCCAAGAGGGAGAUUUUACAGCCUGCAUCUUUGCUAAUCCAAAGAUUGCACGAUCCUUUUGCAAUGAAACCAAGUAAUUGUCUGUUUAAAGCCAUCUGGAACCUUUUAAUCUUUAUUUUACUGCCAGUGGAUGGAGACUUGUUUGCUGUAACUUCUGGAAACAAUGGCCGGGGGCUGUAAGAGGCAGCAGUAGCCACCCAGUGAGGAUGUCCU
Lacerta agilis (Sand lizard) is the source of this 277-nucleotide long non-coding RNA. RefSeq lists it as uncharacterized. The transcript has 3 exons. Lineage: Eukaryota; Metazoa; Chordata; Lepidosauria; Squamata; Lacertidae. The record is from RefSeq and is a predicted model, not a curated record.